Schizosaccharomyces pombe (fission yeast) is the source of this 477-nucleotide non-coding RNA. NCBI's taxonomy places the organism in Eukaryota, Fungi, Ascomycota, Schizosaccharomycetes, Schizosaccharomycetales, Schizosaccharomycetaceae. The record is from the annotation of a GenBank genome assembly.
UGUAGUUGGAUGCUGCUAAAGAAUCACAACGACAGAUAGAAAAGUAACAAGAAUAGUUGCAGUAACUUGACGAAUGAUCGCAUCUUCUAGACAAAAAGUCAGUUUAAAAGGAAUCUGAAGGAUUAGAUGAAUAUGGAAUGACAAUAAACUCUUUAUUUAAUGAAUGCCAGCCGUAAAAAAAAUCAAGACAAAUAACAUAUAAGUCAUAAUAACAGGAAAUUGAAAUAUUGAGAGAGGCCCAGAAUUGCAUGAAGCAAAGUCCUUAUGUUUGCGAAUGUUUCAAGACACCAUAGCUUCACACAAAAGUAGAUGAGUUUAGAUUAAUUAAAACAGAAAUUCUCUUCAUCGAGGAAAUUUAAGCGAUUUACUUCAUACCAUCGCUUGACUUGUUGAGAAAAAAAACCAUAUAAGAAGUAGAUGCAAAAGGACGAGAAAAGGGAAUAAAUAUAAUCAGACAAUUGGGGUAAACGUUAAAAA